UACGUAGGUGUCGAGCGUUGUCCGGAUUUAUUGGGCGUAAAGAGCCCGCAGGCGGCUUGGCAAGUUUGAGGUGAAAUCUCCCGGCUUAACUGGGAGGGGGCCUCGAAAACUGCCAGGCUUGAGGCAUGGAGAGGGAUGCGGAAUUCCCGGUGUAGUGGUGAAAUGCGUAGAUAUCGGGAGGAACACCAGUGGCGAAGGCGGCAUCCUGGCCAUGUCCUGACGCUCAGGGGCGAAAGCGUGGGAAGCAAACCGG
RNAcentral lists this ribosomal RNA (253 nucleotides) under uncultured bacterium. Its description in RNAcentral is "partial 16S ribosomal RNA". It matches the Rfam family "Bacterial small subunit ribosomal RNA", at positions 524 to 776 of the family's 1533-position model. The record is from RNAcentral.